UGAUUGUCCAGGCAAAUCCGGAUAAUCAAGGCUGAGGUGUGAUGACGAGGCACUACGGUGCUGAAGUAACAAAUGCCCUGCUUCCAGGAAAAGCCUCUAAGCAUCAGGUAACAUUAAAUCGUACCCCAAACCGACACAGGUGGUCAGGUAGAGAAUACCAAGGCGCUUGAGAGAACUCGGGUGAAGGAACUAGGCAAAAUGGUGCCGUAACUUCGGGAGAAGGCACGCUGGUGUGUAGGUGAAGUCCCUGCGGAUGGAGCUGAGACCAGUCGAAGAUACCAGCUGGCUGCAACUGUUUAUUAAAAACACAGCACUGUGCAAACACGAAAGUGGACGUAUACGGUGUGACGCCUGCCCGGUGCCGGAAGGUUAAUUGAUGGGGUUAUCCGUAAGGAGAAGCUCUUGAUCGAAGCCCCGGUAAACGGCGGCCGUAACUAUAACGGUCCUAAGGUAGCGAAAUUCCUUGUCGGGUAAGUUCCGACCUGCACGAAUGGCGUAAUGAUGGCCAGGCUGUCUCCACCCGAGACUCAGUGAAAUUGAACUCGCUGUGAAGAUGCAGUGUACCCGCGGCAAGACGGAAAGACCCCGUGAACCUUUACUAUAGCUUGACACUGAACAUUGAGCCUUGAUGUGUAGGAUAGGUGGGAGGCUUUGAAGCGUGGACGCCAGUCUGCGUGGAGCCAACCUUGAAAUACCACCCUUUAAUGUUUGAUGUUCUAACGUUGGCCCCUGACCGGGGUUGCGGACAGUGUCUGGUGGGUAGUUUGACUGGGGCGGUCUCCUCCCAAAGCGUAACGGAGGAGCACGAAGGUUAGCUAAUCCUGGUCGGACAUCAGGAGGUUAGUGCAAUGGCAUAAGCUAGCUUGACUGCGAGCGUGACGGCGCGAGCAGGUGCGAAAGCAGGUCAUAGUGAUCCGGUGGUUCUGAAUGGAAGGGCCAUCGCUCAACGGAUAAAAGGUACUCCGGGGAUAACAGGCUGAUACCGCCCAAGAGUUCAUAUCGACGGCGGUGUUUGGCACCUCGAUGUCGGCUCAUCACAUCCUGGGGCUGAAGUAGGUCCCAAGGGUAUGGCUGUUCGCCAUUUAAAGUGGUACGCGAGCUGGGUUUAGAACGUCGUGAGACAGUUCGGUCCCUAUCUGCCGUGGGCGCUGGAGAAUUGAGGGGGGCUGCUCCUAGUACGAGAGGACCGGAGUGGACGCAUCACUGGUGUUCGGGUUGUCAUGCCAAUGGCACUGCCCGGUAGCUAAAUGCGGAAGAGAUAAGUGCUGAAAGCAUCUAAGCACGAAACUUGCCCCGAGAUGAGUUCUCCCUGAGACUUUAAGUCUCCUGAAGGAACGUUGAAGACGACGACGUUGAUAGGCCGGGUGUGUAAGCGCAGCGAUGCGUUGAGCUAACCGGUACUAAUGAACCGUGAGGCUUAACCUU
RNAcentral lists this ribosomal RNA (1425 nucleotides) under Klebsiella pneumoniae CHS 02. Its description in RNAcentral is "bacterial LSU rRNA". It matches the Rfam family "Bacterial large subunit ribosomal RNA", at positions 1525 to 2925 of the family's 2925-position model. Lineage: Bacteria; Pseudomonadati; Pseudomonadota; Gammaproteobacteria; Enterobacterales; Enterobacteriaceae. The record is from RNAcentral.